Molecule: ribosomal RNA, 509 nt
Filed under: uncultured bacterium
Lineage: Bacteria
Description: partial 16S ribosomal RNA
Rfam family: Bacterial small subunit ribosomal RNA
Source: RNAcentral
GACGAACGCUGGCGGCGUGCUUAACACAUGCAAGUCGAACGGAAAGGCCCUGCUUUUGUGGGGUGCUCGAGUGGCGAACGGGUGAGUAACACGUGAGUAACCUGCCCUUGACUUUGGGAUAACUUCAGGAAACUGGGGCUAAUACCGGAUAGGAGCUCCUGCUGCAUGGUGGGGGUUGGAAAGUUUCGGCGGUUGGGGAUGGACUCGCGGCGUAUCAGCUUGUUGGUGGGGUGGUGGCUUACCAAGGCUGUGACGGGUAGCCGGCCGGGGAGGGUGACCGGCCGGGGGGGGACGGAGACGCGGGCCCGAGUGGGGGGGGAGGCGGGGGGGGGGAAUAUAGAGCGGGGGGCGGGAGCCGGGUGCGGCAACGCGGGGUGGGGGAGGACGGCCUGCGUGUCGGCGACCGCUGUCGCCGGUGAGGAGGAGGGGGGGAGGGGGAGGGGGAAAGAAGCACCGGAGAACUACGUGCCAGCGGCCGCGGUAACAAGGGGAAGAGCCCUCGUCUCACC